This 253-nucleotide ribosomal RNA is filed under the name uncultured bacterium. RNAcentral's name for it is "partial 16S ribosomal RNA". It matches the Rfam family "Bacterial small subunit ribosomal RNA", at positions 524 to 776 of the family's 1533-position model. The record is from RNAcentral.
UACGGGGGGGGCGAGCGUUGUUCGGAAUUACUGGGCGUAAAGGGUUCGUAGGUGGCCUGCUAAGUCAGACGUGAAAUCCCUCAGCUUAACUGGGGAACUGCGUCUGAAACUGGCGGGCUUGAGUGCAGGAGAGGAACGCGGAAUUCCAGGUGUAGCGGUGAAAUGCGUAGAUAUCUGGAGGAACACCGGUGGCGAAGGCGGGUCUCUGGGCAGUAACUGACGCUGAGGAGCGAAAGCGUGGGGAGCGAACAGG